GGGAAAGAUUUGGUUUUAUUUUUACUUGCUAAGUUUUUAGUCUACAGUUCGAUUCUGUUGUUUUCUCU
This 68-nucleotide transfer RNA is filed under the name Rhabdopleura sp. NHMO H2136. RNAcentral describes it as "tRNA-Ser". The record is from RNAcentral. Lineage: Eukaryota; Metazoa; Hemichordata; Pterobranchia; Rhabdopleurida; Rhabdopleuridae.